Molecule: ribosomal RNA, 429 nt
Filed under: Bacillota bacterium
Lineage: Bacteria; Bacillati; Bacillota
Description: Firmicutes bacterium partial 16S ribosomal RNA
Rfam family: Bacterial small subunit ribosomal RNA
Source: RNAcentral
UAGGGAAUCUUCGGCAAUGGCCGGAAGUCUGACCGCGCAACGCCGCGUGAGUGAAGACGGUUUUCGGAUCGUAAAGCUCUGUUGUUAGAGAAGAACGUUGGUAGGAGUGGAAAAUCUACCAAGUGACUGUAACUAACCAGAAAGGGACGGCUAACUACGUGCCAGCAGCCGCGGUAAUACGUAGGUCCCGAGCGUUGUCCGGACUUAUUGGGCGUACAGCGAGCGCAGGCGGUUCUUUAAGUCUGAAGUUAAAGGCAGUGGCUUAACCAUUGUACGCUUUGGAAACUGGAGGACUUUAUUGCAGAAGGGGAGAGUGGAAGUCCAUGUGUAGCGGUGAAAUGCGUAGAUAUAUGGAGGAACACCGGUGGCGAAAGCGGCUCUCUGGUCUGUAACUGACGCUGAGGCUCGAAAGCGUGGGGAGCAAACAGG